GUUGAAGAUGUAUUUUUCUGUUUUCUGUCUGUGAGAGAGAGACAUCCAGAUCAGUCUUGUGAGCAACACAGCCAUGGUCCUGGGCAGCCAGCUCUAUGUCUCCCUGCUUGAACAGUGGGGGUGACCAAAUGACCUCCAAAGGUCCCUUCCAACCUUAACUCCUCUCUUUCUGUAUGAUUCUGUGAUUCUGCGUUGUCUCAAUCCCACAAGAUAAUGAACCUUCUGAACAACCUGCCAGAUAUUAGCAUAAUUCCUUAAACAGUAAGCAUGUGCUUGGCUCUUCCUGCCCUUCAUUGCUUAUCUGAAUAAGGACCAGAAUAUUCUUAUAAAACAGUUUGAAACUUGAAUUUUCUACACUGUUACUGAGAAGUUGACAUUUCAGUAAAACAUUUGGUUUGAAAGAGAACAACAAUAGUUAAAAUUUUCCCUUCAUUAGAAAGUGAAAGUAGAAGAAGAGAAGCAGAAACGCAUACUGGGCUCUAAGAUACACAGUGUGUUUUGCAGUAUGGCAUACGUCAUGACCUUCAGUGCUUUGAAUUAAGUAGGAAAAAGAGCAAGCCUGAAGUACAGGAUCAUAGGGCUUACAAGGAACACAAAGUCAUAUAGUCCAGGUGUAGUGGAAAUGCUAAGUGACGGCUUGAAACAGUAACUGAACACCUGGUGGGAAGGCAAGGCCAACCCAGGGGAGCUCAGGUGCAUGCAAUGCACCUUAGUGACCAGAAGGGCUGAAGCCAGGAUCCACCCCUUCCCAGACCUCAUUUAAGGGUUGGCAAAGCUCUUUUGCUAGAGAUUUCAGUGUACCUGAAGCCUUCCAAGGGUUUUUACCAGACCUUAGAACUAUGGAUCACUUAGGUGCAGUGGCAGAAAAGGUAGAGAAACUACGGCAAGAGGAAGGAGAACAAGAUUUACUUCAGAAAGCCAGGACAAUAGGCUGGGCCAGAUGUUCAUCUGGCAUAAAUUAGCAUUGCUCUGUUGAUACUACUAGAGACAGGAAGACUUCUAUCAAGCUGUGGUCAGUUCCUGUAUGAUUAAACAUAUAUUAUGUCAUGCAUGGGGUAUAAAAUGCUGUUGAAUCAGGAUUCCUUUUCAACUACUCUGCACUUUAUUUGCCCUGUAUGUUAUAAUGAUUAUAGAAGGUGUAAAGCAGGCCUCUGUAACUUUAGUGAAACAUAUCCAGUGGGAAUAUUGGGGAAAAAAAAACAGUGAGGGUGACUGCAUCAUGGAGUGAUCUGAAGAUGUAUCAGUAUGGAAGGGAGGUUAGAAAGGCUAGAUUGCUAAGGAGUCGGGGGACCAGUUGCAUAUUGUUUAUGAUGAGAGCUAGUGAGGAUUUAAGGAAAAUACCAAGUAGCUGGUAAACGUACAUACAGAGGAGCCCUUUUCCAGACUGCUGUGAGUGCCACUGGACUUUGCUGAAGUAAAAAAUAGAAAUGGGCUCAUAAAACACUAAAAAACAUAAUGAGGGUAGGACUGUCAGCGGGUACAAAGUCUAAGGUGGAUGCGAAGUGUGCCUCGAAAGGUCUCCAGCUCAGUAAUUGCUCCCAGUGAAACUGAACCCCUGCUAGAGGAUGCUCGUGAUACAUCUGCAAUUUCUUAUGCUCCUCUCCCAAGUAUCUGUGACUGGAUGGGGUUUUGGAAGUGCUAUUGGGCCAACUGUGGUGGAGCACUGCACAAUUGUUUUCAAGCUGUUUAUGUCAUUUGUAAUACAUGUUGCAUUAGUAGAUGUAUAUAUGGAUGCAAAUACAUGAUAAUAUGAGCCAGUGGAGCAGAUCUUUGGCUGAUGUUAGUGUAAUUGCAUUGGUUUCAACAGAGCUGUGCUGGCUCAUGAGAAGCUUGUCUGUUCCAGGCCUUAGCCACCAAUGUGCUAUUUAGUUACAUGCUGGUGCAGUACUGUGAAAAUUAAUGCAAUUAUAGAAAUUUAAUAUAGCAACAAUGAAGUCAUAAAUGGCAAACAUGGAUUUUUGCUUUAUUCUUUAUUGUAUACUCAACUAAAAUAUGCCUUACUUAGCUUUCAGUGUUCUGUUAUUAAUCUAUUGAAGCAUGAAAAGUAUACUGAAACUAAACAGAUUCUCUGAAAGAGAGAGAAAAUUAUGACUUAAACUGGAAGAAGUCAUGAAUAAUGAAAAAUACAAAACAUUGUUUUCUCCAAUCUGUGAAACACUGAUUAUAAAUGUAUAGUAUACAUCAAAAUUAGCAGGAUGAAAUGCCUGAUGCAUUGGGACACAGAACAGAAUGCAGGGCUAUACCCUGAAAACUCCUAGUUCUACAUAUCAUAAAUAGCAGUAAGUUAAUUCCUGUAUAUUAAUGUGAUACUACUCACAAAAAGAUUAUCUACAUUAUGGUUUGCUUAUGACAGAUUCUGCAGUGCAAUUUUAAAGAGAACGUUAUGGAAGGUCUAUAGUCUAUGCUCUUCCACUGAUUUCACAUAUGCAGCACAACACUUCUGAGGUCCUUUCAGAGUUCCAUUUAAACCUUUUUGUAAGCAGUCUCUAGCAAUAGUUCUGACCUAAGCUUAUCCUCUGAAAUAAUUAAAUAUAGU
Numida meleagris (helmeted guineafowl) is the source of this 2536-nucleotide RNA transcript. It is a transcript of the gene named skin secretory protein xP2-like, with no coding region annotated. NCBI's taxonomy places the organism in Eukaryota, Metazoa, Chordata, Aves, Galliformes, Numididae. The transcript is spliced from 3 exons. The record is from RefSeq and is a predicted model, not a curated record.